Molecule: non-coding RNA, 86 nt
Filed under: Pseudomonas psychrophila
Lineage: Bacteria; Pseudomonadati; Pseudomonadota; Gammaproteobacteria; Pseudomonadales; Pseudomonadaceae
Also listed under: 1 other name
Source: RNAcentral
AGUCAUGGCGGUCGUGCGCGGGCACGUUUCGACGUGGCCGGUUACCCUGGGACCCGGUUCCUACCCCGCGCAUGGCUGCCACCCAG